RNAcentral lists this long non-coding RNA (13481 nucleotides) under Nicotiana tabacum (common tobacco). Its description in RNAcentral is "long non-coding RNA (NTAB_LNC014569)". Lineage: Eukaryota; Viridiplantae; Streptophyta; Magnoliopsida; Solanales; Solanaceae. The record is from RNAcentral.
CGAUCUGAUCCGAUCUGUGCACAACCCUAGUUCAUUUGACUCGGGGAGAAGGUGUUAGGCACUCCCCAAGUCCCGUAACUAUUACAGUUGCAUACUUGAUCUAGUCGGCUUUUAAAAUGUUCAAUUGAGAUAAAAACAUAAAAACAAAAUAAACACACAAGAGGCUAGAGGUCGUCCCCACCUAAAAAGAUAAAAAUAAAUAAAAGAAAAUAUUAAAGUUCUAUUCUACGCUUCCUCACGUCAUCCAAUCUCUGGCCUUCAUUUACAUGUACUUCGGGGCAUACUCCGGAGAAAAUAUAUACAAAUCCUUCGGGGCAUUCUCCCGUUUAACUAAGGGAACGACCUUUCGCCUCAAAACUAACAAAAUCCUAAAGUUUGCCUACCCAGGUGAUGACGGCUUAAAUAUGCUACUAACGCACAACGUGACAAAAUAAAGUGAAACAAACGAAACUAAAUAAAGCAAUAAAAUUCAUUACCUACUCACUUUCUUUUGAUUCAUUCACAUAACCAAACCUAGAUUCUACAACAUCUGGACAUGAUUUAAUUUUUAAGGGCUGGUAGUAUCAUUUUCCCACGACCAAUUUCAAAUUUUAUCAACCUGAGCUCAAUUCGUUGUUUGUUUCAGAUUUCGGGCUAUAUUGCCAUAACUUUAUCAAGCAAAUGCAAGAUAAUAGUGACAUAAGUAUCAACUAAACACAAAGUCCAAAUUAGAAAACAACAACCUACUUCAUUCAUCCUCAUAUAAGUGCAUAAAACAUCAAAAAUUAUAUUAAUCAAGAACAAGUUAAGAGACGGACCUUUUCCUUUCCAAAUGAAAUCUGAAAACGCUUAACAAAACUUCGACGGAACCGCGACCAAAAUUCAACAACGGACCUCGAAUCGGCAUCAGAAAACUCAAGCAAACAUGGAUUCAGACCCAAACAAACUCAAGCAAUGAAUUUCGAUAAUAAAGUGACUCCAACUUUGUUUCUGUUUUUGAUUUUUUUCAAAAUGACGUUGAAUCAAAAGAAAGUAAAAUAUUUUUUGGUACUUUGUUAUUGCAAUGCUCAGAUAAGUCCAUUCCCCAUCCCCCUUGUCCAUUUUUUGCUUCUAUUAGUGUGUGUGUGUGUGCUUUGGGCGGUGAGGUGAAAGAACUAGGAGGGGUCGCUGGGCGGAGUAAGCGGCGACUGGCUGGGGGAGUAUUUUUGCCGGAUUUUCUGGCCAGUUCUGGUGGGGGUGAGUUGGUUGGAGNUAAGUGUGUUGACNGUGGUCGGCGGCGAUUUACAACAACAACCAAAGGGUGAACGAUUAAAUCACUGAAACUCUGGCGAGUUAUGACGAGCACGCGGCUGCUGCUGUCCCUUUUCGCGGUGAGUUCGGGUGGCAGAAAUGGUGGAGUGAUGGUCGUUUAAGUGAGGUGAAGAAGCAGGUUGCGACUGGCUUCUUUUUGUGCUGAUGGCUGCUGAUCGUUUUUGGGUCCUAGGGCUCUAGGGUUUUCCUUGUUCUCUUGUCUUAGUUCUGUUCUAGGUUAGAAGAAGAUGAUGAGGAACAAGGGGGGGGGGGGUCGUAUGGUGUUUGAGAUUAGGAAGAAGAAGAAGGGCUGCUACAGUGUUUUGUGUCUUCAGGCGUUAGUUCCUCUAGGUCUAAGGUCUUGGGUUUGAUUAUUGUAUAUUCUCCUAAAUGGGGUCUAGGUUUGGGCUUUUUUAUCUCCUUAGGGGAAAUGGGAUAUGGGCUAACAAGAUUUGGACUUCAUAUUUGGGCUAAAAAUUCUAUAUAAUUGGGCUAAGAAAAGGCUAAAAUUUAAUCUACUUCUAAAAAUACUUAUAAGAAGAUAUAAGUAAUCUAAAAACUAAAGUUGAAACUAUUUUUGGUAUUUUCAGAGAUUAUAAAUAAAAUAGGUUCAAAGUAACAUAUCUUUCUAAAAAUAUCUAAUACGUGAAUUAAAUAGAGAAAUAUGGAACUAUUUUUGUAAUUUUCAAUUUUUGUUCUUAAAAUAAAGUAAAAGAGUUAAAACUACGUAAAAUAAUAAUAUUAGGCCUAAACUAAAUAUCUAAAAGAGUAAAAUCUCGGGGAGGGUCAAAAAUUACAUGUCUACAGCUGCCCCUCUUUGAUUGGAAAUACGAAGUAUUUUCAGACAAAGAACGACUAGACAAGUUUUUUGACCCAACCCUUAUUUAGAUAAACCAAAAUUUAGAGCAAGGAAGAGAGUGUGACCGAGCCCUAGUAUCUGAGCUGCCUACAUAUCCUUGGCUAUUAAGGAAUCAGGCCACGUGUAGUUCAGAAGUGAAUGAGGUGAUGGAGUAUACUGAGGUGGAGAGCCGGUCGAGGUGUCGUCGAGGUUCCGGUCCGCAGUUCCUGCCAUUACAUCGAAAAUGAAAGGAACAAUUACAACAAAAGUAAAAUAAAAAUGCAAGAUCCUAUCUACUUCUUGUCUUGGAUCUUCCGUGAAUCUCUACUUGAUCUUCAAUAUGAGACUGAAAAAUGGGCCCUGUUCUUUAGGCGAGCUCCUGAUGCUUCUUGAAUUUGCGAAUUGGAAGUAACUCUGAAAUGAAUCCCCUUGUUCUCUAGGUGGGUGCCUGAUUGCCAAAACUUGAAUUGCAUUCCCUUAUUAUCCAGGUGGGCGCCUGAUUACCAAAACUUGAAAUGUAUUCUCUUGUUCUUCAGGUGGGCGCCUGAUUUCCAAUACUUGAAUUUCCCUUGUUAUCCGGGCGCCUGAUUGCCAAAACUCGAAAUGUAUUCCCUUGUUAUCCGGGUGGGCGCCUGAUUUCCAAAACUUGAAUUGUAUUCCCUUGUUCUCCAGGUAGGCGCCUGAUUUCCAAAACUUGAAUUGUAUUCCCUUGUUAUCCAAGUGGGCAUAUGAUUGCCAAAACUUGAAUAGUAUUCCCUUGUUCUCCAGGUGGGCGCCUGAUUUCCAAAACUUGAAUUGUAUUCCCUUGUUAUCUAGGUGGGCGCUUGAUUGCCAAACAAUUGAAUUGUAUUCCCUUGUUAUCCAGGUAAGCGCCUACCAUUACAACAAAACAGACGAAACGAAAGAAAUUUUUCUGCCCCAGUUUGGAACCUGGGCGCAUCUGUGAGUGUUAAUCGAAUCAUGUUACCUAAAAGAGCUCUAAGAAUUUAAAAGCUAAAUCCCAUUAUCCAAGGGGGCCUUGAAAACUUCAAAUUAAAUCUCAUCAUAAGAGUGACAACUUUAAAGCUAAAUUAUAUUUCCUAAUGGUAGAACUUACGCUAAAUCUUGUUAUCUAGGAAGUUCUUGAAAUUUAACUAGGUUCCAUUAUCCAGGAGGGUCCUGAUAAUUUUAAAUUAAAUUUCAUUAUCCAGGAGGGUCCCGAGAACUUUUAAAAAUUAAAUUCCAUCAUCCAAGAGGGUCUUGAAAAUUUUAAAUUGAAUCCCAUUAUCUAGGAGGGUCCUGAUAAGUUUUAAAAAUUAAAUCUCAUUAUCCAUGACGGUCCUGAAAACUUAAAAACUAAAUCUCAUUAUCCAGGAGAGUCCUGAGAACUUUUAAAAGUUAAAUCUCAUUAUCAAGGAGGGUCCUGAAAACUUAUAAACUAAAUCCCAUUGUCCAAGAGGGUCCUGAGAAUUUUAAAUUAAAUCUCAUUAUCCAGGAGAGUCCUGAGAAUUUUUAAAAAUUAAAUCUCAUUAUCUAGGAGGGUCCUGGAAACAUGAAACCUAAAUCACAUUAUCCACGAGAGUCCUGAAAACUUAAAAAUUAAAUCUCAUUAUCCAGGAGGGUCCUGAGAACUUUUAAAAAUUAAAUCCCAUUAUCCAGGAGGGUCUUGAGAACUUUUAAAAAAUUAAAUCCCAUUAUCUAGGAGGGUCCUGAAAACUUGAAAACUAAAUCCCAUUACCCAUGAGGGUCCUGAGAAUUUUAAAUAAAAUCCCAUUAUCCAGGAGGGUCCUGAGAACUUUUAAAAUUAAAUCUCGUUAUCNNNNNNNNNNNNNNNNNNNNNNNNNNNNNNNNNNNNNNNNNNNNNNNNNNNNNNNNNNNNNNNNNNNNNNNNNNNNNNNNNNNNNNNNNNNNNNNNNNNNNNNNNNNNNNNNNNNNNNNNNNNNNNNNNNNNNNNNNNNNNNNNNNNNNNNNNNNNNNNNNNNNNNNNNNNNNNNNNNNNNNNNNNNNNNNNNNNNNNNNNNNNNNNNNNNNNNNNNNNNNNNNNNNNNNNNNNNNNNNNNNNNNNNNNNNNNNNNNNNNNNNNNNNNNNNNNNNNNNNNNNNNNNNNNNNNNNNNNNNNNNNNNNNNNNNNNNNNNNNNNNNNNNNNNNNNNNNNNNNNNNNNNNNNNNNNNNNNNNNNNNNNNNNNNNNNNNNNNNNNNNNNNNNNNNNNNNNNNNNNNNNNNNNNNNNNNNNNNNNNNNNNNNNNNNNNNNNNNNNNNNNNNNNNNNNNNNNNNNNNNNNNNNNNNNNNNNNNNNNNNNNNNNNNNNNNNNNNNNNNNNNNNNNNNNNNNNNNNNNNNNNNNNNNNNNNNNNNNNNNNNNNNNNNNNNNNNNNNNNNNNNNNNNNNNNNNNNNNNNGAGAACUUAAAAAAUUAAAUCCCAUUAUCCAGGAGGGUUCUCGAGAACUUAAAAACCUAAAUCUCAUUAUCCAGGAGGGUUCUGAAAACUUAAAAACUAAAUUCCAUUAUCCAAGAGGGUCCUGAGAAUUUUAAAUGAAAUGUCAUUAUCCAAGAGGGUCCUGAGAACUUUUAAAAUUAAAUCUCAUUAUCCAGGAGGGUCCUGAGAACUUUUAAAAUUAAAUCCCAUAAUCCAGGAGGGUCCUGAGAAUUUUAUAUUAAAUUUCAUUAUCUAGGAGGGUCCUGAGAAUCUUUUUAAAAAUUAAAUCCCAUUAUCCAGGGGGGUCUUGAAAACUUAAAAACUAAAUUCCAUUAUCCAAGAGGGUCCUGAAAAGCCGAGAAUGAACUUACCUGAGCCAUGCUCUCUUCUUGGAGGAUCUUGCACAGAAUUUCUUGCUCCUGAACCAUGCCUUCUUCAUGGGAGGGUCCCUGUGGAUUAACAAAUUUUCUUGCCCCUGUUUCAGAUAAAUAAAAUUUUGCUAGUUUGAAAACGUGGUAGUUAGUUUGUGGCAUCAUUGCUGGGUGUAUGCUUCUGCCGCUGCUGCGCUUCAUUCUGAUCAACUACUCCUAGCCAGCAAUGAGUUGUUUGACCUUUGAUUGGAACUGGACCACAAAACCUCCGGAUGACCUGAAUCUCUUACACUCACUUGUUGCAUUGUGUCUUCGUUUUGAAAGUUGUUGAGUCCUUGUAUUUUCUCAAAAUUCAAGAUUCACUUGAUUGCCUGAACCUCAGUUGUCAAUAUACUUCUUAUUCUAAAUCAUGUCAAUUGUGAUGUGUCUGGCCGAACACCGCUUUGUGCAAUUUAGAAGUUGGUAGUAGGCUUUGGAAUCCUUUCCUGCUUGUUCAACAAGGCUAACUCGAAAAGACUCAUAAAGAUAUACUUAAAGAGCAAAGUGAAAUGAUUUUUGACAAAAGGAACAAAGGAAAAUUUUGAACACAAAUGACUAUGUGAAGAAGAAUGGGAAGAAGAAGACUUAUCUGAGGGAAGCGGCCAGCGCCAAUGUUCAUGACAUGCAUUUCGGAUUGAUCAGCCUAAUCCGUCCAACCAAUCAUACUUUCAGUUCAUGUCAUGUCUUCAUACUUCAAUAACUGGGCUUUCACUGAUCCAAUUUCUCUGUAAAUUCAUGAGCCUCAUUCGACUUGUAAUGCCCCGAAGGGUUUUCACCAAUAAGCCUUUCUCAUUUGUUCAUCUCUCAACUCACCAUCGCCUUCCGGUGCCCGUAAGGGUUUUCACCAAUAAGAUUCUCUCAUUUUAAAUUUUCUCUUGGCUCACUAUCACCUUAUGGUGCCCAUGAGGGUUUUCACCAAUAAGACUCUCUCAUUUUAAAUUUUCUCUCGGCUCACUAUCGCCUUACGGUGCCCGUGAAGGUUUUCACCAAGAAGACUCUCUCAUUUUAUAUUUUCUCUCUUGUGCCCAUGAACAAAGUAUUACCCAUGAUGUAAAUUGUACCUCUAUCUCGCUUUACUUGGCAUCCUCAAAGAUUGAUCGAAAGGUCUUUCUUUGGACCGUAAUGUAGGCUUUUGGACAGGGUUAGAAAUAAAGGGUGACAUGAAGGCUCAAAAUAAUUUAAGAUGAAAAGGGGUUCAAAAUUAUAACUUUUGGAAUCAGAUCUUUUGCAAAACCAAAACUUUUGCCCCAGUUUCUUUGGGUCUGGGGAAUUUUGGAUUUUACUUUGAUGGGACCGAACCGUGUAAGGCUGCCUACGUAUCCUUAAAAGGAAUCAGGUCGAACGUAGUUCAAACAAAAGUUGUUUGUUUUUGUAGCUUUUCUUUUUUCUUUUCUCUUUUUUUUUUUCAUUUUUUCUUUCUUUCUUUUCUUUUUUUUUUUCUUUUCUCUUUUUUUUUCAUUUUUCAUUUUUUUCAUUUCUCUUAAUUCUACUCCUUGAUUUNNNNNNNNNNNNNNNNNNNNNNNNNUACGUAUCCUUAAAAGGAAUCAGGUCGAACGUAGUUCAAACAAAAGUUGUUUGUUUUUGUAGCUUUUCUUUUUUCUUUUCUCUUUUUUUUUUGCAUUUUUUCUUUCUUUCUUUUCUUUUUUUUUUUCUUUUCUCUUUUUUUUCAUUUUCAUUUUUUCAUUCUCUAAUUCUACUCCUGAUUCCAAAAGAGGGUUAUAAAAGAAACUAAAUAAGGCUCAAAACGGGUAGCAAAUGAUGUAAGUGUUUGGGUAGCGGAACAAAAUGCCUUCGUCAUUUCAACUUUGAAUAUGCCAAGUGCAAAAUGCAACUGAAAAUGAGCAAAGAACUCACAUAUAAUAUCUCUUGAUGGCAUCAACGCAAACAGAAAGUGUCGAUGGGAAAUACCUUUGUCCCAAUGAAUGAUCUUUGCCAAUUCGAAGCAGACUUGACUCAACCUUGCCUUGAUGUGGAAGAAUGCAUUUCAACACUGAAUGAUCUACCUCAAACUAUUCGGGAGACAUUUCCUUGUUGUAUGCUCUUAUCAACCUCUUGAUUUCCCAGACUAACUGCCUCAGUUUCACUCAAUUCAAGCUUCAAGCUAUCUAAGAAUGCAUGAAUCUUUACUCGUUUCCUCAAAUGCAUCUUUUUAUCAUAUUCAAAACUAUGUUUCAUUAUUCCAUGAUUAGAUUGGCUUUCAAAAUCUGGCUAAAAACUCUGCAUGCAUGUCAUGUCACCAGAACUGGCCUGGAGAGAACUAUAUACAAGAAAAGAAAUUAAACGAAGACUGCAGAUAACAAAAAAAAUCUCAUUUGAUCAAAGGAUGGAAGGGUUUGAACAGCAGAAUGAGAUCUAUAUUAAAGACCUAAAAUAACUCUAGAUGACAGACUUAGAGACACAAAACUAACUAACAAAACUCCUAGAGAUAGGCAAAAGAGGAUAGAAGGGUUUGAAUCACCAGAGCAAACAAGAUAAAAUCUGGGUUACAACCCUGAAAUAACUAGAUAGCAGAAAAGAUGCCAAAAUAAACUGCCAAGACUCCUUCCCUACGAGGAUAUGAGGUGCUUUCUAAUUACCAAGCUCGAGAUCUUAGCUACUGAGUUGCACAUCAAAAUUAUUGGGACCUUCACCAACUUCAAUCGCAUUGCCUUCACCACAUGGCUCAUUGACUCCUUUGAACAAACUUCCCUCAGCACUGACUGUUGAAUUGGCGACUAACCCCCUUAGAGAUCUUGCCGCAAAUGACUCACCAAAGGACUUGAAGGAACCUGCACAUUCGUUGUCAUUGCAAACCAUCCCAACAAUUUGUGCGUUGUCAUGUACAUAUAGAGGAUUAUGUGUGACACUUGGGGUACUACUGCCUUGGACCACAAUUAUCCCUUCUUGAAUCACUCUUUCUAUCUCCCUUUUCAAAGCACGACAAUCUUCAAUGAUGUGACCUUGGACAUUAGAGUGGUACAUGCACCGUACAGCGAGAUCAAAACCUUUUGCAUAUGGGUCCGGAGUGUAGCAGAGGAGUGGCUCAAUCAGGCCAGAAUGUUUUAACUUUUUAAACAACUUGUGUAGGAUUCUCCGAUUGGCCUGAAAUUAUCUUUCUGCCUUUGUUUCCCUCCAUGCCUAUGUUUUCUAGGGUUAUAGGGUUCCUGAAAAUGCUGUGAAGGCGCACGAGGAUUUUGGGAUACUGAUGCUCGCCCCAAGGAGUAACCUAGUGGUUGUACAGAUGACCAGACAGUGUUCGGAAGAUAAUACUAGGGUAGAUUAUAUGGAGCUCGGGGGUAUUCAUGGGGUCGGUAUUGAGGCUGAAAGCAUUUAGCAGGGUUGUCCACUGGAUCAUGUCGUUGACAGGACUCAGCAACAUCUUUUCUAUCAAUCGGAGAACUGACCCGAGCAACUUGUUCAUUCCAUCUGAACCAAAACUCCCUAAAACCUUUCUUGGGUUUCUUUCCCAUCUGAGAUAGGGAGGAGUGGUCUGGGAUAAUGUCUACAUUGUACUGAUAGUGCUGAACAAAAUCUUGAACCAUGUCACCCCAUGCAUGCCACUUACUGACAUCUUGACGAGUAUACCACUCCAAGGCUACCCUACUCAAACUCUCACUGAAAUACGCCAUCAACAAUUCAUCUUUCCCGCAAACACUUUUUAUUUUAUUGUAGUAACCCCUCAAAUGGGCUACUGGAUUUCCACGCCCAUCAUAUAAGUUAAACUUUGGCAUUUUAAACCCUGCAGGCAGACGAAUAUCCGGAAACAUACACAAGUGAUUGUAAGACAUGUUAUUUCCCAUCCUUUGCAUGUUCUUUAAGGAUUGUCCUAUACCUUUCAGCUUUCUGGAUAUCUCAUCUUGCUUCACUGUCUUAGCAGGAUUUUCAGCUUCACCGGGAGGCUUAAGAUGAAGAGCGUAAGAGUAUGGAUCUGAGACUUUGAAAGGGGUAUUGGAGCAUAGUGUUGGGCAUCAGGGACUUUGAACGCAUGUUCAUUAGAAGAUCGAUGAAGGGUAGCUCGAGGAGGGGCUACAAAAAUAGGAGCAGAUGUCAGAAUAGGGUAUGCGGUUAUUUUGGCUGGUGGAGCAUGGAAAGUUUGGGAAACAUCAGUACCAGCAAAAAUCUGGAUUUGUGACAAUGGCGGAAUGGUGACGAGGCUUUCAGAGUAGUUAGUGGGAAAUAAUGAUGGAGAACGCCCACUAAUCCAGGCUUGGUACAUUCUGACCAUCUGUUCUUUCAACCUUAGGACCUCUUCUUUCAACUCAGUAUCUCCUUAGGCGGAUCGACAACGCCUGUAUCCAAGUCUUUGCUAGCCAUGGCUUCCUUGCUUUUGACUUUGUGUUGUAUGGAUGAAUCACCAAAGUGUCACAAACUAACCACCCUCUUUUAUAAUAACAAUGAAAGUAACAAAGAGGAGCAAAACAAAGCCAACAUGUUAGCGUUAGAGCAUUUAUCAGGUAGAAAUAUCACAUUGCGUGCAAUGCCCCCUAGUCACAGUUAAUGGUCCUAGAAUAGCUUCGAGGGAACGAAGGUCAUAUGGCAUCAUCCCAAUUUCACUCUUUUUGCCCCAUAUCCAUCUUCGUCUUGCUUUCUAACACGCUUGGUUUUUCAUUUCUUUCCCCCUCUUUUCUUUCUGAUUAUCGCUCUUUUCUUUUCUCUCAUUUCUCAUGUCCCGCAAUUUGAUUUUUUUUCCUUUCCUUUUUCCUUUUUUUAAAUUUGACUUUUAAAAAUGAUUUGAUCCAACCCUAUGUAGGUUGCCUACAUAUCAUGUCCCUCAUGAAUCAGAUCAAGCGUAGUUCUGAAAAAGUAAUGGACAAAUAAACUAAGACACAAAAAUCUUUUUGGAUUUUUCAUUUAUAACUUUUUUCGGUUUUCAAAUACAAAACAGGAAGUACGAUAAUGAGAGACUCGACAAACUAAACUAUACUACGAUAGCUCUGACACCAACUAAAUGACUGAAUACUACUGUACAUGACUAGAAAGUAAAACAUGAACAAUAGACUCAAAACAUAAAAAAGCUCCCCAAACAACUCCUGAAUGUAGUGGUCCUGAGUAUCUGUCAUGCUUGAGUCCUGGUACAUGGAUCCACACCUGAAUGAGAAAAAUAAGACCAAAUAGAGUUAAUGACUCGAGACACUACGUGAGACCAUAAUGCUUCCUAUUGGGCAUAUGCAAGGCACGAGUGAGGUUAUUUCUGCAAAAUGGCCAACGUGGAAAAAAGGUGGUUAAAAAUAAAAACUCAAUUAGGAUGACCUCUAAAACAUGGAAACACCUCACGAAGUCCCAUAAACUCUCGGGAAUCGUGGUCCCUCAAACUGCUUUGCAAAAAUGACCCACUUUGCAGAAAUGGCCUAUGUGGCCGAAAAAUGACUAAUUAUGCAAAUUCAACAGGAGUGGACCUUAAAAGUGAGAGGACACCUUGUUGUGAACUUAGGACUCUAAGACAUGGGAAAACAAACCACGUUUGCAAAAAUAUGCCUAUUUUGCAAAAACGACCGAUGUGGUCGAACGUGGCUAAACUUGCAAGAUUUGGCUACGACCCCGCAAAGCCAAGAACCUAAGACUUACUAAGAAAGACCAGACCCUAUGUGGGUUGCCUAUGUAUCACGUUCCGAAAGACGAGAAUCAGGUUCGCGUAGUUCGGGAAGAUUGGACAUGGGAGAAAGCUUAAAAAAUGACACUAAUUUGGAAAAAAUAUAUUUUUUUGUCUUUUUGAAAAAUGAUGUAAAAUAUUUAUUUAUUUUUUGGAAAAUUAUGGGAAAGUGCAAAUCGUUUUUUUUUUUUUUUGGAUUUUCGUUUUCUCAUUUUUGUCUUUUGAAAAAUGAUGGGAAAGUGCAAAAUCUUUUUGGAUUUUUCAUUUUUUUUUUUUUGAAAAAUGAUGGGAGAGUGCAAAAUCUUUUUGGAUUUUUCAUUUUCUCUUCUUUUUUUUUUGAUUUUUGAAAAAUGAUGGGAGAGUGCAAAAUCUUUUUGGAUUUUUCAUUUUCUCUCUUUUUUUUUAUUUUUGAAAAAUGAUGGAAAAAUGCAAAAUCUUUUUGGAUUUUUCAUUUUCUCAUUUGUUUUUGUCUUUUUCUUGAAAAAGUUGUGAAAGAAAAAUAUAACUAGGCCCUACUCGCUUCAUCUUUCACCCUUCUUUCCCAAACAUAGGUCCGCCAAAUGACCUUUUUACCCUCAAAGAUGCAACAUGUAUCACAUAGGGAUGAUUGAAUAUUUGUUUGGGCCAUGGGCCCAUUUUUGACAAAAUUUGGAUAGGCUUCCUACAACGGGAUACGGUGCCUAGGACCGAACCUUGCUAGGUUUAAAUGAUACGAUACAAAUAAGCAUGACCUAAAGGCUGACCUACGUUUGGGGUUCACUAGACAAGGCAAUUCGGGGCAGCACGUGGUCGAUCGUGGCUGCUCUAGCUGUCCGCCCACUCAACGCUCCCACGCCACCCCCCUAAAGACAUGGGUGACUCACAAAAAGGCCGUGUACGCUCAAACGUACUCCGGAAGACUUGUUGCAGAAAGAAGACUCGGGGUUAUGCAAAUGAUGACAAUUUAUAAAGCAGUAACACAUAAAGGAAAAACUGUAAACAAAUAAGCAACUAGCAAAUAAUAAAAUAAAAAUAAAAAUCAAAUAAAGCAAACAAAACACAUAAAAACCUCAACCGAACAUCCUAAAAAGCCAACAAGAUCAAAUAAUAGCUCGAACCUGCAACUCUCCAGUAGAGUCGCCAGAGAUGUCACACCUCUUUUUUAACAAACCUCACUUAACCCUCUUAAAAUAAAUAAAAAGAUUUAGUAAAGCUCAAAAGGGUUUUUCAAUUUUGAAAGUGACAAAAGAUAGUGUUCAAAAGGAUUAACUCAGAUUUGCUACCUGACAUUGAUUUCGGUGUGCCAGGUCACCGUUUUUAAAAAAAAAAAAUUUCCUUUAAAACACUUGGGACUCCAAAACUAAGUCCACACUAGAGAUUUGGGUAAGGGGGUUCAUUUGACUCGGGGAGAAGGUGUUAAGCACUCCCCAAGUCCCGUAACUAGUACAGUUGCAUACUUGAUCUAGUCGGCUUUUAAAAUAUUCAAUUGAGGUAAAAACACAAAAACAAAAUAAAAACACAAGAGGCUAGAGGUCGCCCCCACCUAAAAAGAUAAAAAUAAAUAAAAGAAAAUAUUAAAGUUCUAUUCUACGCUUCCUCACGUCAUCCAAUCUCUAGCCUUCAUUUACAUGUACUUCGGGGCAUACCCCGGAUAAAAUAUAUACAAAUCCUUCGGGGUAUUUCCCCGUUAAAUUUAACUAAGGGAACGACCUUUCGCCUCAAAACUAAUAAAAUUCUAAAGUUUUCCUACCCAGGUGAUGACGGCUUAAAUAUGCUACUAACGCACAACGUGACAAAAUAAAGUGAAACAAACGAAACUAAAUAAAGCAAUAAAAUUCAUUACCUACUCGCUUUUUUUAUUCAUUCACAGAACCAAACCUAUAUUCUACAACAUCUGGACAGGAUUUAAUUUUUAAGGGCUGGUAGUAUCAUUUUCCCACGAUCAAUUUCAAAUUUUAUCAACCUGAGCUCAAUUCGUUGUUUGUUUCAGAUUUCGGGCUAGAUUGCCAUAAUUUUAUCAAGCAAAUCCAAGAUAAUAGUGACAUAAUUAUCAACUAAACACAAAGGCUAAAUUAGAAAAUAGCAGCAUACUUCAUUCAUCCUCAUAUAAGUGCAUAAAACAUCAAAAAUUAUAUUAAUCAAGAAAAAGUUAAGAGACAGACCUUUUUCUUUCCAAAUGAAAUCUGAAAACGCUUAACGAAACUUCAACGGAACAGUAACCAAAAUUCAACAACGGACCUCGAAUCGGCAUCAGAAACUUCAAGCAAACACGGAUUCAGACCCAAACAAAAUCAAGCAAUGAACUUCCGAUAAUAAAGUGACUCCAACUUUGUUUCUAUUUUUGAUUUUUUUCAAAAUGACAUUGAAUCAAAAGAAAGUAAAAUAUUUUUUGGUACUUUGUUAUUGCAAUGCUCAAAUCAGUCCAUUCCCCAUCCCCCUUGCCCGUUUUGUGCUUCUGUUAGUGUGUGUGUGUCUUUGGGCGGUGAGGUGAAAGAACCAGGAGGGGUUGUUGGGCGGAGUAAGCGGCGACUGGUUGGGUGACAUUUUCACCGGAUUUCCGGCCAGUUCUGGUGGGGGUGGAGUUGGGUGGAGAUGAGUGUGUUGAGAGUGGUCGGCGGCGGUUUACAACAACAACCAAAGGGUGAACGAUUAAAUCACUGAAACUCCGGCGAGUUAAUAACGAACAGCGGCUACUGCUGUCCCUUUUCCCAGUGAGUUCGGGUGGUAGAAAUGGUGGAGUGAUGGUCGUUUAAGUGAGGUGAAGAAGCAGGUCGCGGCUGGCUUCUUUUUGUGCUGAUGGCUGCUGAUCGUUUUUGGGUCCUAGGGCUCUAGGAUUUUUCUUGUUCUCUUGUCUUAGUUCUGUUCUAGGUUAGAAGAAGAUGAUGAGGGAACGAAGGGGGGGGGGGGGGGGUUCGUAUGGUGUUUGAGAUUAGGAAGAAGAAGAAGGGAUGUUACAGUGUUCUGUAUCUUCAGGCGUUAGUUCCUCUAGGUCUAGGGUCUUGGGUUUGAUUAUUGUGUAUU